This 388-nucleotide transfer-messenger RNA is filed under the name candidate division WWE3 bacterium. It matches the Rfam family "transfer-messenger RNA". Rfam says of the family: Bacterial tmRNA, also known as 10Sa RNA or SsrA, is named for its dual tRNA and mRNA-like properties. Lineage: Bacteria; candidate division WWE3. The record is from RNAcentral. RNAcentral also lists the same sequence under 1 other name.
GGGCCUGAAUUGGAAUCGACAACAUAAGGAGAGUGAUAGUUACGUGCCGGAGUUGAGUAGAAGGCUCCGUUAUCAAUCUACUCAAGCAAUUUAAUUGCUAAUACUUUGAAAAUGGCAGCUUAAGGUUGCCCGUCCUGCUUUUUGACACCGAUAGACUGGUAAGGGCGAACACUUCGGUAGCUUUUGUUUCUUUCAAGUAAAAGGAAUUGGUGGAGGGUAUCCAUGAUGCCCCUAGAGUUUCUUCUCUCUUUAAAAGAGGAAAGAUUAAGUUACUCUAUCUUUGGAUUCGUAUUGUAAUGAUACGUAGAUUGAAAUAAAAUAGAGACGCACGUGAGAUUACAUUUGAUAAAUGAUUGGACGCGAGCAUCGAAGUUCGCCAGGUCCAUUC